RNAcentral lists this long non-coding RNA (3101 nucleotides) under Macaca fascicularis (crab-eating macaque). RNAcentral describes it as "lncRNA (ENSMFAG00000050406.1)". The record is from RNAcentral. Lineage: Eukaryota; Metazoa; Chordata; Mammalia; Primates; Cercopithecidae.
AUCACAACUGCUCGCAUUCCUGGGGCAUUUUACUGUCUAUGAAAUGUUGUCAUGUGCAUGAUCCCAUGUGGCCCACUCUGCUCCCUAAAACCUUACAUGAUUUUCCAUCUUGAAUUUUUGCUGGUCUGCCCUCCUAUCUCUCUCCUUUUGCCUGAAAGCUUCUCUGGAGGGAAGGGCAAAGUGGUUUAGAGGCUUGGCAGUGGGGUCGAAGAUGGUUUCUACACAACUGGGAAGCCACUGUUGGCUGCCUACAUAUUAACUGUUCUUCUUUCUUGCUAAGAUAAUUCUGAUUUUUGUUCAGUUGAAAAUGUUCCCAGCACCAGAGAGUGAAUCCUAAUUGGUUUAAGCCAGUCAUGGCAAUCUGACCCCUGUUGACAGGGAUUGGUCUAGGGAUGAGCAAUAGGACCCUGUUGUGGCCUAGAUGUAAGUGAGUCUGGGAGGAUUCUGAGAAAGAUUUUACUAUCUGAUUAUAAGAGAGAUAAAGGGGAAAAUUAUUUUUUUGCCCUUGCACUUUUCCUUCCCAGUUGAGACACUAAUGUGUGAAGACAUGAAGCUUGGAGCUUUGGCAACCAUCUUGUGAUGAUGAGGGUGACAGAGCAGAAGAUAAACAAAGCCUGGUAGAGACAUCGAUUUACACAGCUGGAUCCACCGCUGGGCUCACCUGCGCAUUCUGGCUUCCUGGGUCCUGCCUGGGAGAGGAAGGGGUGCAGAGAGUGGAGAAAGUUGGACAGGAGAGGGAGCUACCAUUGCUCCUAGCCUCAUCUGUGUCUGAAGAAUGAUUACCCUGAGGGGUUUCUCUACUUAUCUCCUCCCUGGAUGGCUGUAUAAGCCAGAUGAUGGUUACCUGAACACUCUAGAAAAAGAAUUCACAGAGGGUUUCACAGGGCACGGCCUCGCAGUCUGGAGGGAGAAGAGGGCAAAGCGGUCUUCACGGACGCCACCUACUGCCUGGCUGGGCAGAGAGCCAGUGGAUCAGAGAGGCCGGCUCUGUUCUUGGCAGGAAAUGAGGAGCUGGCAUGGAAAUGCCACCCAGGCUGGGAACAAGAUCUAUGGAGUGGCAGCCUGAGUGGGUGAGGUGAGGGGGAGCACAGGACAACCCAAGGCUCUCUCGUCAGCAGCGCCAGUCCACAGGGAUCUUCAGUGGUCAGCAUUCGAACAUGCUGGACUGGGCCGGGCCAUGGAAACCCACUCUUUGUCAGUGAAUCCCAAGCUUCAGUGCACCUCUGUAUCACCUUGGCAGGAGGGUAGUAUUUAAAAGGCCGUUUCCUAAAGCCUAGCUCAAGAGUUGGAUCAGGAAGUUCGGGAUGAAGCCUGAUAAUUAGUCUUUUAAUAAGCCUUCCUAGCAGGAGACGACUUUGAGAAAUGUGGGUGUAGAGAUUCAGACAAGAAAGCUAAUAGGGCCAUUGAAAGCCUUUUACCUACCAGAAUGGGAUCAAUACACACUUCCCCAACCUUGAAAGCAAGAUUUCUCCUAAUACUAUCCUUGGAGCCACCCAACCCUACCACUCCCAUUAAAGUCACUGGGGGUGUUUGCUAAAAUGCAGACUAUGGGUUCCCAACACAGAUGUAUUGAAUCAGAUUCUCUAAGGGUGAGGACUUGAAUAUACACUUACAAUAAGCACCCUAAUAAUAAUAAUAGCCUAGGUUCAUAUAGUGUUGACUCUGUGACAUGUUCUUUAAUAUUAGCUCAUUUAAUAUGUACAAUAAUUUGUGAGGUAGGUUAUAUUAUUAUUCCAUUUAGCAAAUGAUGAAACUGAGACCCAGAGAGGUAAAGUAACCUGCCAAGGUUAUACCACUACUUAGUGACUGAACUGGGAUUCAGACCUAGGUGCUGCUAUAGUUGGGCUCCUAAUGUAGGAGAAGAAAAAUAUGUGUCCUCUACUAUCUUAUGUUUAGUGCCUGGAGCCUUUGAAUUAAACUGACGAAAGGUAGAUUAGCAGGAGGAAAAAUACAGAGUUUAUUUACACGUGUAACAGGCAUACAUGUGGUUGAGCUCUGUGAUGAGUAACUCAAAGGGGUGUUAGAAUUUGGGGCUUAUGUACCAUCUUAACAAAGGAUAAUAAAAUGUGGAGAACAAGGGAAAUAGGUUAAGGGGUGGCUGGGCUAGAGUUUACUGUGGGAAGGUGAAUAUAUGAGGAAAAUUAAUAUUUGAGGUAAGAUAAGGAUUAUUUUAGUAAGGUUUACUUAUGUAGACCCAUGUGGGCACUGACGUUUUGUCUCCAAUAUAAGGGUUGUUCACUGUACAGAACAGGGAAAGGGGAACACCUUCACAAAGGGAAAAUUAUGCACUGCUUCUAGGCAGAUAGAAAGAAGGUAGAGAGCUCUUUCUGCAUUUGCUGCAUCUUAAUUGCCUUCAGUGGUAUACUUUGGAUGGCAUGUUCUGAUUCCCUUUGCUAACCAGCAUACCAUAUAGCCCAGCUUCUUCAGAUGGAGGCUAAAUCUCAAAACCCCUUAUCAGUCAUACUUGCCAGCUUCUGAUCAACUCUGCAGUAGAGGGAAGAACCUGAGCAGAAGCUGAUGUGGUAGUUGCUGAAGGUACAGGCCAGAAGGCAACUUAAUGAUCUGUAAAGAGCACUGCUCUGGAAGUCAGGAGACAAGGAUGUAGUAGGAACAUGCCAGGUGACAGUAGACAAGUAGAUUCUCCUUUCAAGGCUUUGGUUCCAGCCAUCUGUCAAGAUGAUGCUAAGCUGGAUGACUUCUAGAUUUCUUCUCAGCUCUGGCAUUUGAAAAUUAUGUGCAUUUCUCUUUCUGAGCAAGCUGAGGCAGUUUCCUGGAGGCUCUGUGUGUAUGUGUGUAUGUUGUAGGGGAGAGGACAGUUAUAUGUGGGGGAAGUAGCCCCAGCCCAAAUCAGGCUGGGCGUGUGUGUGUGGCUGCUGUAAGUCUGGGUGUAUCCCAGGCCAGGCCAGUGGGGAAGGGUUGGAACUUACAAGGGCAGGACUUGCACUGAAACCAAGGCUGUUUCUCUCUCAGCUGUUUGUCUAGUUUCGUCCUGAAACAAUGCCCUUAGGCUCACCUAAGGAGAGAAUGAAAGGCAUAGAGACUGGAACAGCUGUGGAGAUAACAUAGAAACAGCUUCAGGGCAACCGAGACCCAGAAGUAGG